RNAcentral lists this ribosomal RNA (754 nucleotides) under uncultured bacterium. Its description in RNAcentral is "bacterial SSU rRNA". It matches the Rfam family "Bacterial small subunit ribosomal RNA", at positions 29 to 800 of the family's 1533-position model. The record is from RNAcentral.
ACGAACGCUGACAGAAUGCUUAACACAUGCAAGUCGAUUCGAUUUACCUUCGGGUAUUGAGGAUGGCGGACGGGUGAGUAACGCGUAAGGAACUUGCCUCUUGGACUGGGACAACUGUUGGAAACGACAGCUAAUACCGGAUAUUAUGAGAUUCUCGCAUGAGAAAUUUAUGAAAGCUAUAUGCGCCAAGAGAGAGCCUUGCGUUCCAUUAGCUAGUUGGUGGGGUAACGGCCCACCAAGGCGACGAUGGAUAGCCGGCCUGAGAGGGUGAACGGCCACAAGGGGACUGAGACACGGCCCUUACUCCUACGGGAGGCAGCAGUGGGGAAUAUUGGACAAUGGGCCACAAGCCUGAUCCCACCAAUUCUGUGUGCACGAUGAAGGUCUUCGGAUUGUAAAGUGCUUUCAAUUGGGAAGAAGAAAGUGACGGUACCAACAGAAGAAGCGACGGCUAAAUACGUGCCAGCAGCCGCGGUAAUACGUAUGUCGCAAGCGUUAUCCGGAUUUAUUGGGCGUAAAGCGCGUCUAGGCGGAAAAAUAAGUCUGAUGUUAAAAUGCGGGGCUCAACUCCGUAUUGCGUUGGAAACUGUUUUUCUAGAGUACUGGAGAGGUGGGCGGAACUACAAGUGUAGAGGUGAAAUUCGUAGAUAUUUGUAGGAAUGCCGAUGGAGAAGUCAGCUCACUGGACAGAUACUGACGCUAAAGCGCGAAAGCGUGGGGAACAAACAGGAUUAGAUACCCUGGUAGUCCACGC